Molecule: long non-coding RNA, 5546 nt
Organism: Colossoma macropomum (tambaqui)
Lineage: Eukaryota; Metazoa; Chordata; Actinopteri; Characiformes; Serrasalmidae
Exons: 9
Source: RefSeq, a predicted model, not a curated record
AUCAAGUGUAUGUAAACACACUGAUUAUUUUCCCAUUAUCUUAUAGUAUUUCACAUUUCAAUAAAGAGCAAAUAAAAGAAAACAAGUUAAUAAGUUCUGGCAGUCAUACAGAAUAAUAAUAUCAUUACUGAUGAGGGGAAACAGGAACCGUUUUUCAUUCCGUUAGUAACGUCAUGUCUGAGCUAUUCCUAUAGAAGAUUCAGAAACAAGAAUAUAUGAUUACAGCCGUGCUGGUUCCCCUCUCCUCACUCUCUGAAUUUGGAGCUCUUGCUGAUUAGGUGCUGAGUUGAAUCAGGUGAGUUAAAUGAGGUGCUAAGCUCUUCAGUGCCAGGCAGGACUGCAGUCUGACAUCUCUGACAUAAAUUCAAGCGUUCAGUGAAUGACUGUAAAAUGAACGAAUGAUUUUUGUGGUAUGUUUACUAUACGUCUGUAAAUACAGUGCAGAAGAUAAAUGAAUGAGUUUGGCUUCAUUUUAAAUAAACUGAGGUGUUUUUUCGUUAACAUAUACUUUUUUCUCCACCCUUUUGUGCUCAGCCAGAGCAGCUCGAUGGUGAGAUGUAAAAAGCCUGUCUCUGAAUAUUAUGGGAGGAGCUUGUUAGCUACCAGCUGACCUAGGGGUGGACAAUAUGACGAUAAUUUAUUCUUAUUGUGGAAAAUUACGUGAUACAUUCUCCAUCAGUCUGAAGAACCAUUAAGCAUGCAGAUAGUUCUUUAAGGGUUAAUGGUUUUUUAUAAAUCCACUGUCUUUACCAAGGAACCCUUGAAGAACCGUUUUUUUUUUUUUUGAUUGUAUAUAGAAUAUUUUGCUUGUUUAAAUGGUUCUCUGCUUGGCAAAAUGGUUCUUGGGAUUGAUGGAGAAUGUGUUGUCUAUGUGUUGUGUAACCAUACGUUCUAUAUAGAACCUUUUGGAAAGGGUUCUGUAUAGCACCAAAUCUUUCUUCUAUUGUUCUAAGUUUGGUAUGGUCACAUUUUGGUCAUUUAAGCAUGAAAUGGUUCUAUAUAGAACUCAUGGUUCUAAACAGAGCCAUUGCCUUUUCUAAAGAACCCUUAAAGAACCAUGUUUUUAAGACUGUAAUGAAACACACCUGAUCCAGUAAAUGAAGGCCUGGAGGGGAAUCUGAAUAUCUGUGUUUUGGAUCUGAACUGUUUAGGGUGGGAGGCCAGGACUGGGCACCUCUGCACUAGUGUAUCUCAGAGAUGUCCAGUUCAAGUUCCGGAGAUCUACCACCCUGCAGAGUUCAGCUCCAACCCUGAUCUGACACACCUGAUCCAGUCUGAGAGAAAGGUGAGGCUGAAGGAGAUCAUCAGGAGGAAUACCAAACACGCUGCUCUGGUCUUACUGUCGUGACCUGUCCCUCAGGGCUGCUUCCCCAGCUCUCUCUACAUGGCUUGACUCCACACACUGAGCUGUGGACUGCACUGCCCCGUCCUGCUGAUUAGAGGAAACCAGCAGAAUGUCCUCACCUUCUACUGCCAUCUGAGAGAAAGGUGAGGCUGAAGGAGAUCAUCAGGAGGAAUUCCAAACACGCUGCUCUGGUCUUACUGUGAGUCCUGAUCCCAGUUCAUACUCAUUAACAGCUGAACUUCAUAAGGAUUCUGUUCAAUAUUCAGCUCAAAACCAAAGAAUGCAAAUUCAAAUAUUGUUUGAAAUUCCUCAGUCAGGCUCAGUUGUUCUCAUGAAGUUAAUCCCAUAACUAAUGAAGAUCAAAGAGCAGAAGCCGUGCACAUUACUGUGUGUCUGUCUGUGUCAGGUCAUGACCUGUCCCUCAGGGCUGCUUCCCCAGCUCUCUCUACAUGGCUUGACUGGACACACUGAGCUGUGGACUGCACUGCCCUGUCCUGCUGAUUAGAGGAAACCAGCAGAAUGUCCUCACCUUCUACUGCCAAUGGUGAAAAAGGAGAUGAACAACACAAUUUCACAGGUUUGUUGUCUUAACAGAGGUAAGUAGUAGUAGCAGUAGUAGAGGUAAGUAGUCUUGUUCUUGAAGUGCGGUGCAUUGAAUGAUGUUGCAAACAGCAUGACUUCUUACCGGUCAGUGAGACGGAGGAUAAUAAGGGAUGUAAGUAGGAUAGAAAAAGAAAGCUACACAGUUCAGUUCUGCAUGAACAGGAAUAGACCCUUUUCACAAAAUACUGGAAAUACAGAAGCGCUGGAUAAACAAAUUCCUGUUCUGCCUCAGACACUCCCACAUUCUCAUCACUUCAGCUCAUCACCCAAUGUUUUACCUUUUUAAUCGUUGCUAAUCGUCUCUGGGUCUGUUAAACAGUUUACAGCUGGAGAGACUUAAAGAAAUCAGUGACAAAUUAACAAAUACGCGAGCAGGAGACGUCUCUACUGAAUGAAUGGCUCAGUCUCCAACCGCUCCAUAUUCUCUAUCUAGUGAACUAAUAAAAACAGCCUGUAUGCCCAAAUAUUUCAUUAUAUUAAAGCAGAAGGAAGACGACUACAUCCAGCCACGGAUAACAAGGCUCUCUGCUUAACAGUUAAAGUUCGAUUAAGGUCUAGAGGACAUUUUUUCAUGUUUCUUAGUGUACUUAUAGGUUUAGAUAGUGAUUUGGGACUCGGUCCAGAAUAUCUCGUGCCCAAAAGCUCUUGGCUUCUUUAAAGUUUUGGCAGAUGAAAAGCAUCUGAAACAACACAAUUUGAGCUCAAAUAAUCUUAAGUGCAGUAGAAAACUGUGAAAUAGUGAUUGAUGCUUGUACAUGAAGGUGCACUGUGAAAAGUGCUCUCCUCUAUUAACAGGAAUAGGUAAAUACAGGGUGAUUCAGAAAGAUUCAUCUGAUUUCAAAAUGAUUUAUUUCACUUGUAAAUCAUUACAGAAUAAUGCAGUAGAGUGUAAAUUGUUUAAGUGAGCAUAAAGUUUAUUAUGUAAUUGUAUAUGUGCUCAGUAUGAACCUCCUCCAGCUGUACGGACAACAUCAACGCCAUAUUCAGAUUCAUCCCAUACUCGAUUGAGCAUGUCGGGUGUCGCUGCACUCACGGCUCUUUCAGUGCGAUUUCGGAGAUCAUCCGGUGUUGUGGAACCAACGACAAACACUCCGAGCUGUUGGAGCUUCACUGCCCACAUAAAUCGCGCUGCACAGUUAUGACUGAUUCACUCUUAUUGAAAUGGUGAACGCAGAACGCUUUCUGCUCAGGGGUCGCUUCACCUCGCAGACUGAAGGGAGCCAGUCAGAAACUCUAUGACUGCCUCUUUCAGUUGGAUUGUGAUUGGUUCCUAGGUGACUCACAGUUGUAGAAAUACGGUGCUUUGAAAUGGGAUUAAUCUUUUUGAAUCACCCUGUACUAUGAAAUGUGAUGCAUAGUGUACUGUAGUGUCAGAGUCAGACAUGUUGCAGAUUUUGGCUGAGUUUGUUGUUUCAGAUGCUUUUUAUCUGCAAAAACCUUGAAGAAGCCAAGAGCUCUGUGGUAGGACGAGAUAUUUUGGACCGAGUCCUGAAUCAAUUUCUACACCCUGCAUAAGUGCACUAAGAAACAUAAGUCAUUAAAAAACUACACGUUAAUGGAACUUUAAUUGUUAAGCAGAGAGCCUUGUUAUCCGUGGCUGGAUGUAGUCGUCUUCCUUCUGCUUUAAUAUAAUGAAAUAUUUGGGCAUACAGGCUGUUUUUAUUAGUUCACUAGAUAGAGAAUAUGGAGUGGUUGGAGACUGAGCCAUUCAUUCAGUAGAUUUUAGGCACCCAAGCACAUUAUUUAAUUAAUUAGAACACAUACAGGUGAACAUAAAAACAGGAAAAAGAAAGCAGAACGUCUCAUGUCAAAGUUUGGGUCCAGAUUUCACCUCCCAGUGUGUGUUUGUUCAGUUCCAUCACCAGCUCAUCCCUUAGCCAAUCAGAGGUAUCGUAUAUCUGUAAUAUUAUAGGCAAAUUUUUAUACCAAUUCUGAAAUCUCAUUGGCUGAGCAGUGUUUCGAGCUGUAUGUACAUGUUUAUUGCAAACAUUGUAGAAACCUUAUUUAAUCUAAUGUUUAUUUUUGUAUGUGUCCAGGUUUGCACCGGAAAUGAUGCGACGUAUUUUGCGGUCAGCCUUGACCAACUGUUAGUUAACCAAGCAGACCUGUCAUUUCAGCUGGGCUGGGAAAUGAAAGGAGAGACUGUUCAAAGACAGGCUUUGAAAGACUGCAUAUUUGGUGUCAGCAACAUAAAUUACUGACGCUGAUGGUCUUUCCUGAUGUGGUCAAGAAGCGGCCGCGUUAUGCACCAGAAAGGGAGGGGUGCGUUCCCAGAAACACAAGCCGUAGUUGACUUGUUAAUUGAACCUUUGCUUUAUUUUGUAACUGUAGAUGAAAGUGACUCAUUAAAAGGUCUCAUCAUUUUUGUGUUUAGCGCCAUCUGGUGGUAAUGAGGAGGUCUGUGUUAAUAACGGACCAAUCAGCCAAUGAAAUGUUAACAGAUCAGCCAAUGAGGUGUCCUGUUAGAAGGAGAGUGACUCAAAAUGGAGGAAGAAGAACAGCUCCAAGGUCAGGAAACUGGGUCUGGAUUUUGGCCUCUGGAUCUUCAUUCCAUGCUGAAAAGUUCCUGGUUGUUGGUCUGAGUUCAUUCAGCUGGAUUUUCUGCAGCACAAAUAACCUUCCCAGAAUGCAAGACGCCAAGAAUCUCAUGGACUUAUUGAUCUUACACACCAGUUUUGCAUACAUUUGCAUAUUGAUGAGCAAGCAACCAAUCAGAGAAGCCAAUUAAAUAAAAAAAAUCAAACGAGUCUUUAUAAGGCUUGUGAUGUGAACGCUGUUCUCGACGACGGUGAAGACGAGAAAAAACACUAAUAAACAGGUAUUUCUACCACGAACGAGAAGCCUAGACACAUAGAGGAGAGUGUGUAACUGCGCCAUCUGCUGGUGAUGAGGAAGGACAAUGCGGAACUGCGCCGUCUGCUGGCGAUGAGGAGGGACAGUGCAGAACUGCACCAUCUGCUGGUGAUGAGGAGGGACAGUGCAGAACUGUGCCAUCUGCUGGCGAUGAGGAGCAAAACAGUUUUUGACUGCUUUCAUUUUUUAUACUUUCAACUUAAAACGCUCAUUAGCGCCCUCUAGCGGUCAUUUUCGUGUCGGGCCAAAAUGCAGUAUUUGCGGUAACAACAACAAAAAAGCCCAAAAGUACAAAAUAAACAAAUAGUUUCAAACUGAGAUUUUAACAUGAUUGUCUAACAUUACACUAUAUUAUGUUACUGAAAUACUUUAGCAGUACUAUUUGGAGUAAAUAUAGUAAAUUACAUGUACAAUACAAAUAUAGUUCAUUUUUUUCUUAUCUCACUGGAUGAGGGAGUGGCAUAACUUUCUGGAUGGCCAAAUCAAAGUUUGAGAGAGCCGGUUUAUAAGGAGUCUGGUCUCUUCCAGUUUCCACCUUUAUCUCAAAAAAUAUCACUGCUAAACAGCAGAGGGUGCCCAAGAGCGGGUCCUCAGUGAACGGGGGUGAACGGAGCUAAACGGCUAAAAUUGAAAAGUUAAAACUGUUUCGAAUCGUUUACACAGAACUUCACUAAAAAAGCAAAGAAAACCUCACCUGUACGUUUCCUUUUCUACAGCAAACAGACGCUGACAUUACCGGAUACUG